GACGAACGCUGGCGGCGUGCUUACCAUGCAGUCGAACGGAAGGCCUCAGCUUGCUGGGGUACUCGAGUGGCGAACGGGUGAGUAACACGUGGGUGAUCUGCCUCGUACUUCGGGAUAAGCUUGGGAAACUGGGUCUAAUACCGGAUAUAACCUUCCUUUAGUGUGGUGGGUGGAAAGUUUUUCGGUACGAGAUGAGCCCGCGGCCUAUCAGCUUGUUGGUGGGGUAAUGGCCUACCAAGGCGUCGACGGGUAGCCGGCCUGAGAGGGUGGACGGCCACAUUGGGACUGAGAUACGGCCCAGACUCCUACGGGAGGCAGCAGUGGGGAAUAUUGCACAAUGGGCGCAAGCCUGAUGCAGCGACGCCGCGUGGGGGAUGACGGCCUUCGGGUUGUAAACCUCUUUCGCUAGGGACGAAGCUGCCCUUUGUGGGGUGGUGACGGUACCUGGAUAAGAAGCACCGGCUAACUACGUGCCAGCAGCCGCGGUAAUACGUAGGGUGCGAGCGUUGUCCGGAAUUACUGGGCGUAAAGAGCUCGUAGGUGGUUUGUCGCGUCGUCUGUGAAAUUCCGGGGCUUAACUCCGGGCGUGCAGGCGAUACGGGCAAUACUUGAGUGCUGUAGGGGAGACUGGAAUUCCUGGUGUAGCGGUGAAAUGCGCAGAUAUCAGGAGGAACACCAAUGGCGAAGGCAGGUCUCUGGGCAGUAACUGACGCUGAGGAGCGAAAGCAUGGGUAGCGAACAGGAUUAGAUACCCUGGUAGUCCAUGCCGUAAACGGUGGGCGCUAGGUGUAGGGGUCUUCCACGACUUCUGUGCCGUAGCUAACGCAUUAAGCGCCCCGCCUGGGGAGUACGGCCGCAAGGCUAAAACUCAAAGGAAUUGACGGGGGCCCGCACAAGCGGCGGAGCAUGUGGAUUAAUUCGAUGCAACGCGAAGAACCUUACCUGGGCUUGACAUAUACGGGAUCGCCGCAGAGAUGUGGUUUCCCUUGUGGCUCGUAUACAGGUGGUGCAUGGUUGUCGUCAGCUCGUGUCGUGAGAUGUUGGGUUAAGUCCCGCAACGAGCGCAACCCUUGUCUUAUGUUGCCAGCACGUUAUGGUGGGGACUCAUGAGAGACUGCCGGGGUCAACUCGGAGGAAGGUGGGGAUGACGUCAAAUCAUCAUGCCCCUUAUGUCCAGGGCUUCACACAUGCUACAAUGGUCGGUACAACGCGUUGCCAGCCCGUGAGGGUGCGCUAAUCGCUGAAAGCCGGCCUCAGUUCGGAUUGGGGUCUGCAACUCGACCCCAUGAAGUCGGAGUCGCUAGUAAUCGCAGAUCAGCAACGCUGCGGUGAAUACGUUCCCGGGCCUUGUACACACCGCCCGUCACGUCAUGAAAGUUGGUAACACCCGAAGCCAGUGGCCCAACCUGUUUACAGGGGGGAGCUGUCGAAGGUGGGAUCGGCGAUUGGGACG
RNAcentral lists this ribosomal RNA (1453 nucleotides) under Corynebacterium atrinae. RNAcentral describes it as "16S ribosomal RNA". It matches the Rfam family "Bacterial small subunit ribosomal RNA". Lineage: Bacteria; Bacillati; Actinomycetota; Actinomycetes; Mycobacteriales; Corynebacteriaceae. The record is from RNAcentral.